Drosophila serrata is the source of this 742-nucleotide long non-coding RNA. Lineage: Eukaryota; Metazoa; Arthropoda; Insecta; Diptera; Drosophilidae. The record is from RefSeq and is a predicted model, not a curated record.
UUGGUGGAAAUCUUGGACAUCAACACCUGAUAUAUAUACGACUCCCGUUGGACAAAAAGCGAGCAAACAAAGAAGGGAAUGAUGCAGGACUUUACGGUCAGCUACCAUAUCCUGAUGCCCUCCACAGCGUACACGUUCCGAUACGGCAUCUCGUUUCCAGUGUACUCCAAGGACUCCAUUCUGACGCCCUCGAAACUGCACCUGGAAUAUGGUUACCUGCAGCACAAGCCCUUCUACCGACAGACCUGGUUCAUGGUCUCCCUGGCGGUAUAAGUAUAAAUAAUGAUCCCCCAAUAUAUUUGCCAUUACGACACUCGGAAAGCGAGAACGGGAGCGUGCGCAGCGACCCACAUUCAUUUGUGAAUCACUACGCCAACGUGAAUGACUCGCUGCGGCAGUCGUGGAAGAAAACCAAGCCGGUGAGGAAUUAUUCCAGCUACAGCUACAGCAAUGGUGGCCAAAUUAUCGUCAAUAAUAUGGCCAGAUCGAGGGCACCGCUGCCCGGCUUCUCAUCGUUCGUCUGACAAUCAACUGAGUUCUAAGAUCUAAGCACCAGUAGCAGCGGUACCGUCAUCCGGGAGACCUUUGUGUAGAAGGCAGGAAGGAUUAAAUGGAACAGGGACGAACCGGAUUGGGAGAAGGAGCUGGAGGCGGCUGGCGAGGAUGGGGAUGAUGAAGAUGAGGAUUAGGAGCAGGAGCAGGAGCAGGAGCAGGAGGGAGCACCGCUUUGCUCUCACAUAUC